RNAcentral lists this ribosomal RNA (1452 nucleotides) under Limosilactobacillus fermentum. RNAcentral's name for it is "bacterial SSU rRNA". It matches the Rfam family "Bacterial small subunit ribosomal RNA". Lineage: Bacteria; Bacillati; Bacillota; Bacilli; Lactobacillales; Lactobacillaceae. The record is from RNAcentral.
UAUACAUGCAAGUCGAACGCGUUGGCCCAAUUGAUUGAUGGUGCUUGCACCUGAUUGAUUUUGGUCGCCAACGAGUGGCGGACGGGUGAGUAACACGUAGGUAACCUGCCCAGAAGCGGGGGACAACAUUUGGAAACAGAUGCUAAUACCGCAUAACAGCGUUGUUCGCAUGAACAACGCUUAAAAGAUGGCUUCUCGCUAUCACUUCUGGAUGGACCUGCGGUGCAUUAGCUUGUUGGUGGGGUAAUGGCCUACCAAGGCGAUGAUGCAUAGCCGAGUUGAGAGACUGAUCGGCCACAAUGGGACUGAGACACGGCCCAUACUCCUACGGGAGGCAGCAGUAGGGAAUCUUCCACAAUGGGCGCAAGCCUGAUGGAGCAACACCGCGUGAGUGAAGAAGGGUUUCGGCUCGUAAAGCUCUGUUGUUAAAGAAGAACACGUAUGAGAGUAACUGUUCAUACGUUGACGGUAUUUAACCAGAAAGUCACGGCUAACUACGUGCCAGCAGCCGCGGUAAUACGUAGGUGGCAAGCGUUAUCCGGAUUUAUUGGGCGUAAAGAGAGUGCAGGCGGUUUUCUAAGUCUGAUGUGAAAGCCUUCGGCUUAACCGGAGAAGUGCAUCGGAAACUGGAUAACUUGAGUGCAGAAGAGGGUAGUGGAACUCCAUGUGUAGCGGUGGAAUGCGUAGAUAUAUGGAAGAACACCAGUGGCGAAGGCGGCUACCUGGUCUGCAACUGACGCUGAGACUCGAAAGCAUGGGUAGCGAACAGGAUUAGAUACCCUGGUAGUCCAUGCCGUAAACGAUGAGUGCUAGGUGUUGGAGGGUUUCCGCCCUUCAGUGCCGGAGCUAACGCAUUAAGCACUCCGCCUGGGGAGUACGACCGCAAGGUUGAAACUCAAAGGAAUUGACGGGGGCCCGCACAAGCGGUGGAGCAUGUGGUUUAAUUCGAAGCUACGCGAAGAACCUUACCAGGUCUUGACAUCUUGCGCCAACCCUAGAGAUAGGGCGUUUCCUUCGGGAACGCAAUGACAGGUGGUGCAUGGUCGUCGUCAGCUCGUGUCGUGAGAUGUUGGGUUAAGUCCCGCAACGAGCGCAACCCUUGUUACUAGUUGCCAGCAUUAAGUUGGGCACUCUAGUGAGACUGCCGGUGACAAACCGGAGGAAGGUGGGGACGACGUCAGAUCAUCAUGCCCCUUAUGACCUGGGCUACACACGUGCUACAAUGGACGGUACAACGAGUCGCGAACUCGCGAGGGCAAGCAAAUCUCUUAAAACCGUUCUCAGUUCGGACUGCAGGCUGCAACUCGCCUGCACGAAGUCGGAAUCGCUAGUAAUCGCGGAUCAGCAUGCCGCGGUGAAUACGUUCCCGGGCCUUGUACACACCGCCCGUCACACCAUGAGAGUUUGUAACACCCAAAGUCGGUGGGGUAACCUUUUAGGAGCCAGCCGCCU